RNAcentral lists this non-coding RNA (135 nucleotides) under Thermacetogenium phaeum. RNAcentral describes it as "MoCo sequence". It matches the Rfam family "Molybdenum/Tungsten riboswitch aptamer (Moco RNA motif)". RNAcentral also lists the same sequence under 1 other name. Lineage: Bacteria; Bacillati; Bacillota; Clostridia; Thermoanaerobacterales; Thermoanaerobacteraceae. The record is from RNAcentral.
AUGAUACUGUAUCUCCGAGUCGUUAUUGCCUAAAGACGCGCCGGCGUCCAUGGCAUUUCGACCUGGGCAACCACGGGGUAUAUUGAGAAAUCGAUAUGCCUACCAUGUUUGUAAAGGAGAUUCAGGGAUUUGGGA